This is a long non-coding RNA of Phragmites australis (common reed), 1123 nucleotides long. RefSeq lists it as uncharacterized. NCBI's taxonomy places the organism in Eukaryota, Viridiplantae, Streptophyta, Magnoliopsida, Poales, Poaceae. The transcript has 2 exons. The record is from RefSeq and is a predicted model, not a curated record.
ACGGUUGCUACGGCUGCUGCAGGCAUCUUCCAUGCAUCAAGCCUUGAGCUUAUGGUUAUGUCAAGAAAAGCUUUUGAGCCACUUGCAAGCUACAGCCAGUGAAUUCAUUUUUGAUAUUUUCGUACCAUGCAUGAUUCUUUCUAUACUGGGGUCAUGCAUGUGGGCCUCUUUAUGAGGAUUCUCGUGUGGAAUUUCUAUGAUGCUUCUCCGGAAUUUUUACAUCUUUGUGUCAGCCUGAGAAGUGAAGGAUUUUUUGCUAAUGGAAAGGAAAAGAGCCUUGUAGUUUGAACCUAAUUUCUAUGUCUCAUAUGUAACCUGAACCUAAUUUGAAUGUCUCUUCUAUAACGGUACAUAAUUACCUAAAAGCACUCUCAUGAUUUACACAUCGCCACUCUUGUUAGCCAGCUCGCCAAUGGUGCGCCCCCUUCAACUAAAUUGGUACCUUUAUAGCUCUUAUCAUUGAACUAUUAAAUAACACAGUACUAAUAAACAACUACAAGGAAAAAUGAUUGACUUGCAACCAUCCUUUAGAUUGUUGCCUUGUACUAAGUAAAAUGUAAAGGUGAGCAAGAUCAUGUUUUUUUAACAACGAAUAGAUUUGUUUCUUGUUGAUUCGAUGCCUCCAGACAUGAGUAAAGGAGCAUUUUAAAAGUAUAAUUUUUCCCUUCUUCGAUGCGUUGUUCAUUUCCUCUAUGGAUCUUUGACUCUGCUCUGUUCCACCUUUUACCACUGCUCAACUUAACAGUGUUCCUGCUCCAUUAAUGUUGUUUUUUUCUUCCUUUUUCAUUCCUAGCUUCUGAGCAGCAUGGUAAAUGAAAAGAGGUACUGCACUAGGAGCCUUUUGGACAUAAUCCGAUAGAAAAGAACGGCAGAAAUUAGCUGGUCGAUGUUUUCUUUGCACCCCAAUUCAGCAAGCCGCUGGUACUCAAACAUGAGGGAAGGUGUGUCAAGGCUAUCUCCAAAAGGACAUCCGAAACAUCGAGUUGGGUAAGUGCUCCUCCUUGCCGUUUGUGUCGUUAUUCACUUUAGUCCUAAUGCAAAGUUAUAGGAUUUUUAUGGACAUCCUGGUAGGAAGUCAAUGCAAAUUUAUAAGAUUUUGGGAUGACAAUUUUUAUCAUUUAUA